AGCAGCCGCGGUAAUUCCAGCUCCAAUAGCGUAUAUUAAAGUUGUUGCAGUUAAAAAGCUCGUAGUUGAAUUUCGGGGUUAGUAGGUUGGUCAUGCCUCUGGUAUGUACUGGUCUCACUGAUUCCUCCUUCCUUAUGAACCGUAAUGCCAUUAAUUUGGUGUUGCGAGGAAUUUUGGACUGUUACUUUGAAAAAAUUAGAGUGUUUAAAGCAAGCUAACGCUUGAAUACAUUAGCAUGGAAUAAUGAAAUAGGACGUUCGAUCUUAUUUUGUUGGUUUCUUAGGAUUGACGUAAUGAUUAAUAGGGAUAGUUGGGGGUCGAUUAGUAUUCAAUUGUCAGAGGUGAAAUUCUUGGAUUUAUUGAAGACUAACUACUGCGAAAGCAUUUGUCCAAGGAUGUUUUCUAUUAAUCAAGAACGAAAGUUAGGGGGAUCGAAGACGAUCAGAUACCGUCGUAGUCUUAACCAUAAACUAUGCCGACCUAGGGAUCGGAUGAUGUUUAAUUUUUUUAAAUUGACUCC
RNAcentral lists this ribosomal RNA (520 nucleotides) under uncultured Glomus. RNAcentral's name for it is "SSU rRNA". It matches the Rfam family "Eukaryotic small subunit ribosomal RNA", at positions 569 to 1081 of the family's 1831-position model. Lineage: Eukaryota; Fungi; Glomeromycota; Glomeromycetes; Glomerales; Glomeraceae. The record is from RNAcentral.